UUGACCCUGCCAUGCUCGUGUGAUGAAACAAAGUCCUUGAACCGUAAUAAACAAAGAAGCGGGGCAUAGGCGCGAUGGUGGCCGACAGGCCUUCGCUGGACGUCGCAAGCCACCGGCCGGUCCCACUGUUUCAACCUGCAGUUCAAAGGAACUGUUCAGCCACGGCAAUGGCGGGGUUUCU
Molecule: small RNA, 181 nt
Filed under: Verrucomicrobiota bacterium
Lineage: Bacteria; Pseudomonadati; Verrucomicrobiota
Description: Verrucomicrobia bacterium (freshwater metagenome) 6S RNA
Rfam family: 6S / SsrS RNA
About the family: E. coli 6S RNA was the first non coding RNA to be sequenced, but its function was unknown until recently. It consists of 184 nucleotides that fold into an extended hairpin structure with a large single-stranded internal bulge.
Source: RNAcentral